CCUACGGGGGGCAGCAGUGGGGAAUAUUGCGCAAUGGGGGAAACCCUGACGCAGCGACGCCGUGUGCGGGAAGAAGGCCUUCGGGUCGUAAACCGCUGUCAGGAGGGAAGAAACCAUUAAAGUCGAAUAGGCUUUUUUGCUGACGGUACCUCCAGAGGAAGCACCGGCUAACUCCGUGCCAGCAGCCGCGGUAAUACGGAGGGUGCAAGCGUUAAUCGGAAUCACUGGGCGUAAAGCGUGCGUAGGCGGCGCAGUAAGUCAGGGGUGAAAGCCCUCGGCUCAACCGAGGAAUUGCCUCUGAUACUGCUGUGCUUGAGUCUUGGAGAGGCAGGCGGAAUUCCAGGUGUAGGAGUGAAAUCCGUAGAUAUCUGGAGGAACACCGGUGGCGAAGGCGGCCUGCUGGACAAGUACUGACGCUGAGGUACGAAAGCGUGGGGAGCAAAC
This 444-nucleotide ribosomal RNA is filed under the name uncultured bacterium. Its description in RNAcentral is "bacterial SSU rRNA". It matches the Rfam family "Bacterial small subunit ribosomal RNA", at positions 338 to 773 of the family's 1533-position model. The record is from RNAcentral.